Molecule: ribosomal RNA, 253 nt
Filed under: uncultured bacterium
Lineage: Bacteria
Description: partial 16S ribosomal RNA
Rfam family: Bacterial small subunit ribosomal RNA
Source: RNAcentral
GACGAACCGAGCGAACGUUGUUCGGAAUCACUGGGCUUAAAGGGCGCGUAGGCGGGCGGCCGCGUCCGGGGUGAAAUCCUCCCGCCCAACGGGAGAACGGCCUCGGAUACGGGCGGCCUCGAGGGGGGUAGGGGCAGGCGGAACUGUGGGUGGAGCGGUGAAAUGCGUUGAGAUCCACAGGAACUCCGGUGGCGAAGGCGGCCUGCUGGACCCCUCCUGACGCUGAGGCGCGAAAGCCAGGGGAGCAAACGGG